This 1522-nucleotide ribosomal RNA is filed under the name metagenome. RNAcentral describes it as "bacterial SSU rRNA". It matches the Rfam family "Bacterial small subunit ribosomal RNA". The record is from RNAcentral.
AGAGUUUGAUCCUGGCUCAGAAUGAACGCUGGCGGCGUGCUUAAUAUAUGUAAGUUGUAUGAGAAUAUUUUAGUUUGUUAGGGUAAGUAAAGUGGUGUAUGGGUGAUUAACGCGUGGGUAAUCUAUCUUCGAAUUGGGGAUAAUGUUGCGAAAGCGACGUUAAUACCGAAUAAUAUCCAUUUAUCUUUGGAUUUUUGGAUUAAGGGUGGCUUUUAUAUGUAAGCUACUGUUUGAAGAUGAGCCCGCGUACCAUUAGCUUGUUGGUGGGGUAAAGGUUUACCAAGGCUUUGAUGGUUAGUUGGUUUGAGAGGAUGAUCAGCCAUACUGGAAUUGAUACACGGUUUAGAUUUUUAUGGGAGGUAGUAGUGAGGAAUUUUGUGUAAUGGGGGAAAUUCUGAUGUAGCAACGCCGCGUGAGUGAUGAAGGCUUUCGGGUCGUAAAGCUCUGUCAAGUGGGAAGAAUUUGCAGUAUGUUAAUAUCAUAUUGCACUGAUGGUACCACUGAAGGAAGCACCGGCUAAUUCCGUGCUAGUAGUUGUGGUAAUAUGGGGGGUGCAAGCGUUAUUCGGAAUCAUUGGGCGUAAAGAGCACGUAGGCGGCUUGGUAAGUCAGAUGUGAAAGUUUGGGGUUUAAUUUUGGAAGUGCAUUUGAUAUUGUCAGGCUUGAGUAUGGGAGAGGGAAGUGGAAUUUUUGGUGUAGAGGUGAAAUUUGUAGAUAUUAGGAGGAAUAUUGGUGGUGAAGGUGAUUUCCUGGACCAAUACUGACGCUGAGGUGCGAAGGCGUGGGUAGCAAACAGGAUUAGAUAUCCUGGUAGUCCAUGCAGUAAAUGUUGUUCACUAGGUGUAGCGGGUAUUGAUUCCUGCUGUGCCGCAGUUAAUGCAUUAAGUGAACCGCCUGGGGAGUACGGCCGUAAGGUUAAAACUCAAAGGAAUUGACGGGGGCCCGCACAAGCGGUGGAGCAUGUGGUUUAAUUCGACGCAAUGCGAAGAACUUUACCUGGAUUUGACAUCCCGGGAAUCCUAUCGAAAGACUGGAGUGUCUUUCGGGGAGCCCGGAGACAGGUGUUGUAUGGCUGUCGUCAGCUCGUGUUGUGAGAUGUUGGGUUAAGUCUCGCAACGAGCGUAACCCUUGUCUUUAGUUACUAUUAUUUAGUUGGGGAUUUUAAAGAUACUGCCCCGGUUAACGGGGAGGAAGGUGGGGAUGACGUCAAGUCCUCAUGGCCUUUAUGUCCAGGGCUACACACGUGCUACAAUGGGCUGUACAAAGGGUCGCGAACCCGUGAGGGUAAGCUAAUUUUAAAAAGCAGUCCCAAGUUCGGAUUGGAGUCUGCAAUUUGACUCCAUGAAGCUGGAAUCGCUAGUAAUCGCGGAUUAGUAUGCCGCGGUGAAUACGUUCCCGGGCCUUGUACACACCGCCCGUCACACCAUGAGAGUUGGUUGUACCAGAAGUUGUUGGGCUAACCUUUUUAAGGAUGUAGGCGCCUAAGGUAUGGCUGAUAAUUAGGGUGAAGUUGUAAUAAGGUA